This 301-nucleotide ribosomal RNA is filed under the name uncultured bacterium. Its description in RNAcentral is "partial 16S ribosomal RNA". It matches the Rfam family "Bacterial small subunit ribosomal RNA", at positions 509 to 807 of the family's 1533-position model. The record is from RNAcentral.
CAGCCGCCGCGGUAAUACGUAGGUGGCAAGCGUUGUCCGGAAUUAUUGGGCGUAAAGGGCUCGCAGGCGGUUUCUUAAGUCUGAUGUGAAAGCCCCCGGCUCAACCGGGGAGGGUCAUUGGAAACUGGGAAACUUGAGUGCAGAAGAGGAGAGUGGAAUUCCACAUGUAGCGGUGAAAUGCGUAGAGAUGUGGAGGAACACCAGUGGCGAAGGCGACUCUCUGGUCUGUAACUGACGCUGAGGAGCGAAAGCGUGGGGAGCGAACAGGAUUAGAUACCCGUGUAGUCCCUGUCUCUUAUAC